GGUUAAGCGACUAAGCGUACACGGUGGAUGCCCUGGCAGUCAGAGGCGAUGAAGGACGUGCUAAUCUGCGAUAAGCGUCGGUAAGGUGAUAUGAACCGUUAUAACCGGCGAUUUCCGAAUGGGGAAACCCAGUGUGAUUCGUCACACUAUCAUUAACUGAAUCCAUAGGUUAAUGAGGCGAACCGGGGGAACUGAAACAUCUAAGUACCCCGAGGAAAAGAAAUCAACCGAGAUUCCCCCAGUAGCGGCGAGCGAACGGGGAGGAGCCCAGAGCCUGAAUCAGUGUGUGUGUUAGUGGAAGCGUCUGGAAAGGCGCGCGAUACAGGGUGACAGCCCCGUACACAAAAAUGCACAUGCUGUGAGCUCGAUGAGUAGGGCGGGACACGUGGUAUCCUGUCUGAAUAUGGGGGGACCAUCCUCCAAGGCUAAAUACUCCUGACUGACCGAUAGUGAACCAGUACCGUGAGGGAAAGGCGAAAAGAACCCCGGCGAGGGGAGUGAAAAAGAACCUGAAACCGUGUACGUACAAGCAGUGGGAGCACAGAGCAAUCUGUGUGACUGCGUACCUUUUGUAUAAUGGGUCAGCGACUUAUAUUCUGUAGCAAGGUUAACCGAAUAGGGGAGCCGAAGGGAAACCGAGUCUUAACUGGGCGUUAAGUUGCAGGGUAUAGACCCGAAACCCGGUGAUCUAGCCAUGGGCAGGUUGAAGGUUGGGUAACACUAACUGGAGGACCGAACCGACUAAUGUUGAAAAAUUAGCGGAUGACUUGUGGCUGGGGGUGAAAGGCCAAUCAAACCGGGAGAUAGCUGGUUCUCCCCGAAAGCUAUUUAGGUAGCGCCUCGUGAAUUCAUCUCCGGGGGUAGAGCACUGUUUCGGCAAGGGGGUCAUCCCGACUUACCAACCCGAUGCAAACUGCGAAUACCGGAGAAUGUUAUCACGGGAGACACACGGCGGGUGCUAACGUCCGUCGUGAAGAGGGAAACAACCCAGACCGCCAGCUAAGGUCCCAAAGUCAUGGUUAAGUGGGAAACGAUGUGGGAAGGCCCAGACAGCCAGGAUGUUGGCUUAGAAGCAGCCAUCAUUUAAAGAAAGCGUAAUAGCUCACUGGUCGAGUCGGCCUGCGCGGAAGAUGUAACGGGGCUAAACCAUGCACCGAAGCUGCGGCAGCGACACUGUGUGUUGUUGGGUAGGGGAGCGUUCUGUAAGCCUGUGAAGGUGUGCUGUGAGGCAUGCUGGAGGUAUCAGAAGUGCGAAUGCUGACAUAAGUAACGAUAAAGCGGGUGAAAAGCCCGCUCGCCGGAAGACCAAAGGGUUCCUGUCCAACGUUAAUCGGGGCAGGGUGAGUCGACCCCUAAGGCGAGGCCGAAAGGCGUAGUCGAUGGGAAACAGGUUAAUAUUCCUGUACUUGGUGUUACUGCGAAGGGGGGACGGAGAAGGCUAUGUUGGCCGGGCGACGGUUGUCCCGGUUUAAGCGUGUAGGCUGGUUUUCCAGGCAAAUCCGGAAAAUCAAGGCUGAGGCGUGAUGACGAGGCACUACGGUGCUGAAGCAACAAAUGCCCUGCUUCCAGGAAAAGCCUCUAAGCAUCAGGUAACAUCAAAUCGUACCCCAAACCGACACAGGUGGUCAGGUAGAGAAUACCAAGGCGCUUGAGAGAACUCGGGUGAAGGAACUAGGCAAAAUGGUGCCGUAACUUCGGGAGAAGGCACGCUGAUAUGUAGGUGAAGUCCCUCGCGGAUGGAGCUGAAAUCAGUCGAAGAUACCAGCUGGCUGCAACUGUUUAUUAAAAACACAGCACUGUGCAAACACGAAAGUGGACGUAUACGGUGUGACGCCUGCCCGGUGCCGGAAGGUUAAUUGAUGGGGUCAGCGCAAGCGAAGCUCUUGAUCGAAGCCCCGGUAAACGGCGGCCGUAACUAUAACGGUCCUAAGGUAGCGAAAUUCCUUGUCGGGUAAGUUCCGACCUGCACGAAUGGCGUAAUGAUGGCCAGGCUGUCUCCACCCGAGACUCAGUGAAAUUGAACUCGCUGUGAAGAUGCAGUGUACCCGCGGCAAGACGGAAAGACCCCGUGAACCUUUACUAUAGCUUGACACUGAACAUUGAGCCUUGAUGUGUAGGAUAGGUGGGAGGCUUUGAAGUGUGGACGCCAGUCUGCAUGGAGCCGACCUUGAAAUACCACCCUUUAAUGUUUGAUGUUCUAACGUGGACCCGUGAUCCGGGUUGCGGACAGUGUCUGGUGGGUAGUUUGACUGGGGCGGUCUCCUCCUAAAGAGUAACGGAGGAGCACGAAGGUUGGCUAAUCCUGGUCGGACAUCAGGAGGUUAGUGCAAUGGCAUAAGCCAGCUUGACUGCGAGCGUGACGGCGCGAGCAGGUGCGAAAGCAGGUCAUAGUGAUCCGGUGGUUCUGAAUGGAAGGGCCAUCGCUCAACGGAUAAAAGGUACUCCGGGGAUAACAGGCUGAUACCGCCCAAGAGUUCAUAUCGACGGCGGUGUUUGGCACCUCGAUGUCGGCUCAUCACAUCCUGGGGCUGAAGUAGGUCCCAAGGGUAUGGCUGUUCGCCAUUUAAAGUGGUACGCGAGCUGGGUUUAGAACGUCGUGAGACAGUUCGGUCCCUAUCUGCCGUGGGCGCUGGAGAACUGAGGGGGGCUGCUCCUAGUACGAGAGGACCGGAGUGGACGCAUCACUGGUGUUCGGGUUGUCAUGCCAAUGGCACUGCCCGGUAGCUAAAUGCGGAAGAGAUAAGUGCUGAAAGCAUCUAAGCACGAAACUUGCCCCGAGAUGAGUUCUCCCUGACCCUUUAAGGGUCCUGAAGGAACGUUGAAGACGACGACGUUGAUAGGCCGGGUGUGUAAGCGCAGCGAUGCGUUGAGCUAACCGGUACUAAUGAACCGUGAGGCUUAACCUU
RNAcentral lists this ribosomal RNA (2906 nucleotides) under Escherichia coli O157:H7 str. EC4206. Its description in RNAcentral is "bacterial LSU rRNA". It matches the Rfam family "Bacterial large subunit ribosomal RNA". The record is from RNAcentral. Lineage: Bacteria; Pseudomonadati; Pseudomonadota; Gammaproteobacteria; Enterobacterales; Enterobacteriaceae.